UGAGCAAUCUGCCCUUCUCAUCGGAAUAAGCGUUGGAAACGACGUCUAAUGCCGAAUACGACCUCCUUUCGCAUGAUCGGAGGUGGAAAGCUCCGGCGGAGAAGGAUGAGCUCGCGGCCUAUCAGCUAGUUGGUGUGGGUAAUGGCCCACCAAGGCAACGAUGCGUAGCCGACCUGAGAGGGCGACCGGCCACACUGGGACUGAGACACGGCCCAGACCUCUACGGGAGG
This 230-nucleotide ribosomal RNA is filed under the name uncultured bacterium. RNAcentral describes it as "partial 16S ribosomal RNA". It matches the Rfam family "Bacterial small subunit ribosomal RNA", at positions 118 to 347 of the family's 1533-position model. The record is from RNAcentral.